Molecule: transfer RNA, 73 nt
Filed under: Actinomycetes bacterium
Lineage: Bacteria; Bacillati; Actinomycetota; Actinomycetes
Also listed under: 8 other names
Description: Actinobacteria bacterium tRNA-Thr
Rfam family: tRNA
About the family: Transfer RNA (tRNA) molecules are approximately 80 nucleotides in length. Their secondary structure includes four short double-helical elements and three loops (D, anti-codon, and T loops). Further hydrogen bonds mediate the characteristic L-shaped molecular structure. tRNAs have two regions of fundamental functional importance: the anti-codon, which is responsible for specific mRNA codon recognition, and the 3' end, to which the tRNAs corresponding amino acid is attached (by aminoacyl-tRNA synthetases). tRNAs cope with the degeneracy of the genetic code in two manners: having more than one tRNA (with a specific anti-codon) for a particular amino acid; and 'wobble' base-pairing, i.e. permitting non-standard base-pairing at the 3rd anti-codon position.
Source: RNAcentral
GCCCUCUUAGCUCAGCUGGUAGAGCACCUCCAUGGUAAGGAGGGGGUCGACGGUUCGAGUCCGUCAGAGGGCU